AAAAUGGUUACGUACGGCUGUACGUUUCGUCACAUGUGGAAAUACUUCAGAAGAACAGUAAAGUUGUUGGUCAUGGUGAAGUUUGAGCUUCUUCAUUGCAUUCCAAAUGCGCUGUGCAGUGUGAUUUAUUGGAGACAGCUGGUGAAAGGUGUUGCUCUUGCAGGCUUCCUACCUGUACGAAAUGUAGCUUUUGUCACAUGCAGAAACACUUUAGAACAAUUUAAAGUUUCCAUGGCCAGUUUUAUGUUUGAGCUGUUUAUGGUGUUGCUGUUUGGAGUUCAGUGGUUUUGCAGUCAUUUUCCAGUUGAGAGGUGCACAGAGCUUGUGCAGGCUUGCAGUUGAACAUUAUACUUUAAUGUGUCAUUUGCCUAUGUUGGUGUCCAUGCAGUAUAUGCUUAUUUUAUCGGCAGAAUUUUGUCGAUAUGUCGACUAUUGCUACCUGUACCGCCGUUGAGUUGAUUUGUUUGCCGCGGUUCCUUAGACUUGAUCCACCGGUGAAACUAAGAAGACUUUUAAUAUGCAUAAAAUGGAACUGUGUGGAAUGCCAAGCAAGGAAGGAUUCUGUACACAGGUUUUCGAGUCAUCAUCAAAUUCGUGAAAGUGUGGAUUAAAUUGAACUUGUCGUCACUUGCUAUUCGUAGUCUGUCAGCAGCUAUCAGUGAGUCAGUCCAGGUCAGUGACUGGGAGAGGUGGUGAACAACCAAAACCAACAAAUGCCGAAAGUUCUUUCCUGCAGCUGUUUACUUUUUUAAUGGCCCAAAUUAAUAUCUCCAAAAUAUAUGAAGAGUUCAACCUGCAGACGGGCCGGGCAGUUUGCAUGUCCUUCACGCUUGAAGGUCGCGG
This 843-nucleotide long non-coding RNA is filed under the name Daphnia pulex (common water flea). RNAcentral describes it as "uncharacterized LOC124210526, transcript variant X3". The record is from RNAcentral. Lineage: Eukaryota; Metazoa; Arthropoda; Branchiopoda; Diplostraca; Daphniidae.